UGCAGGAUGAAGGUCCUAUGGAUUGUAAACUGCCUUUGUACGGGAAGAAACCCCUCCUCGUGAGGAGGGCUGACGGUACCGUAAGAAUAAGGAUCGGCUAACUCCGUGCCAGCAGCCGCGGUAAUACGGAGGAUCCGAGCGUUAUCCGGAAUCAUUGGGUUUAAAGGGUCCGUAGGUGGCCUUGUAAGUCAGUGGUGAAAUCUCACGGCUCAACCGUGAAAUGGCCAUUGAUACUGCGGGGCUUGAAUUAUCGGGAAGCAGCUAGAAUAUGUAGUGUAGCGGUGAAAUGCUUAGAUAUUACAUGGAAUACCGAUUGCGAAGGCAGGCUGCUACCGGUGGAUUGACGCUGAUGGACGAAAGCGUGGGGAGCGAACAGGAUUAGGUACCCUGGUAGUCCACGCCGUAAACGA
This 410-nucleotide ribosomal RNA is filed under the name uncultured bacterium. Its description in RNAcentral is "bacterial SSU rRNA". It matches the Rfam family "Bacterial small subunit ribosomal RNA", at positions 402 to 809 of the family's 1533-position model. The record is from RNAcentral.